This 6145-nucleotide long non-coding RNA is filed under the name Sus scrofa (pig). RNAcentral's name for it is "lncRNA (ENSSSCG00005010960.1)". The record is from RNAcentral. Lineage: Eukaryota; Metazoa; Chordata; Mammalia; Artiodactyla; Suidae.
GAAGUGGUUAUUAAAGUCAAUUUGGUUAACGUAUUUAUCACACUCACAUAAUUAUUUUUUUCAUGUGAUUUGAGAAGACCUAAGAUCCACUCUCUUAGCAAAUUUCAUGAAUACAAUACAAUAUUUUUAAGUACAUCCGUCAUACUGUCAUUAGCUCCUCUGAACUUAUUCUAUUCAUUUUAUAACAGAAAGUUAUAGCAUCUCCAUGUUUCCCCACCCCUACACCCCUGGGCAUCCACAAUGCUACUCUCUUUUACUUUGACUUUGAGUUAUUUAUUUAUUUAUGUACUUUUUAGAUUCUACACAUGAGCAGCACCAUACAGUAUUCAUCUUUUUCUAGCUUAUUUCCAUUCGCUUCAUGCCCUCCGGUUUCAGUUUCAUCUGUUAUUACAAAUGGUAAGAUCCUUGCCUCUUUAUAGCUAAAUAGUAUUCCAGCACACACACACACGCACACACACAUCCAUCACAUCACAUUUUCUUUAACUGUUUAUCUGUUGAUGGACACGUAGCUUGCUCCACGUCUUGGGCUUUGUGAGUAAUAGUGUUGAAAUGAAAAUGAGAGUGCAGAUCAUCUUUUCGAGAUACUGACUUUUUUUUCAGAUAUAUUUCCAGAGGUGGGACUGCUGGAUCGUAUAGUAGUUCUGUUUUCAAAUUUUAAAGGUAUCUUCACACUGUUUUCCAUAGCAGCUCUACCAGUUACGUUCUACCAGCAGAAUACAAGGGUUCCCUUUUUUUCACAUCCUCACAAACACUUGUUAUCUUUAGUCUUUUUGAUAAUAUCCAUUCUAACAGGUGUGAGGUGAUAUCUCAUUGUGGUUUUGACUUGCAUUUCUCUGAUGAUUAGUGAUUUUGAGCACUUUGAAUACACCUGGUGGCCAUUGUGUGUCUUCUUUGAAAGAAUGUCUGUUUAGGCCCUUUGUCUCAUAGUAAACUUUUCUGCCAUUUAAUGUGCAUGGGAUCAGUAGUGAUGGCUUCUUUUCCCUUUCUUAUUUCAUUAAUAUUUGUCUUCUCCCCCACCUUUUGUUUAGCUUGGCUAGACAUUCUCUAUUUUUAAUUUAUCUUCUUUUGUCUUAAAUUGCUCUUCUUUCUGUAGCUUCUAAGAAUGUAUAGUUUGUCUGAAGUUAAUAUUGCUACUCUAGCUUUCUUUUGAUUAGUGUUAGCAUAAUAUAUCUUCUUUGAUUCCUUUGCUUUUAACAUAGCUAAAUCUUUAUAUAAUUUGGAGAUCCUGUCCCCUCAAAGUCUUUGCGAAUACCAUAUGACCACAGAAACAUAUGACCAUAUGGCUGGUUGUGGGGUACAGGAGCUAUAGGAAACUCAAGGCUGAUGUUACUUACCUGAAAUAGAGUAAGAUAAUAAGAUGGUUUGGAGGAUUAAAUAAGAUUAAUACAUAUACAGUGAUCAAACAAUUCUUAAUGCUUUUGGCAUUGUUAACAUUCAGUGCACGGAAAUUUUUGUGAUUAAUGUUAAAUAGGAAGUUUGGAUUAGGCCCUCAUAUUUUAGCCUAAGAUUUUCUUGGUUAUUGCUAUCAAACUAAAAAGAAAACUUUUUGAAAUGCUAUUGAAUGAAUACCUUUCCCUUAUAGAGUUAUGAAAUUGGCUACAUAACAUUGUUCUGAUGAUGUGCCCAGAUUAUGUGAUUUAUUUGCUGAAUCUGGCGUCCGUAGUGGACACCAAUUUUGAUGAGUUUGUAGAAGACUUUUUCAUUGGUGAGAGAUAAUUUUCUUUUUCACUCAGUAUUUUAUUUUAUCUUGUUUUAUUUAUGCCAUAUGGAAGUUUCCAGGCCACGGAUCAAGCCCGCACUAUAGCAGCAACCCAGGCUGCCUCAGUGAUAAUACUGGAUACUUAAGCCGCUAUGACACAAGAGAACUCCUUGGUAUUUUAAAGAAAUCAGAAGCAGCAACAUAAGAAAUCAAGCAGUUCUAGAGAAAGGUCUUUACUCCCUGAUAACCUCUUCUCUGCUUCUCAUUUCUGCAUAUGCCAUUUUAUACCAAGUCAUUCAUAUUAAUUGAACGUACUCUUUUUUUUUUUUUAGGGCCCCUCAACAGGUGACCAUAAUGACUUUCUUAAAUGUGCAGAGAGGCUGCAUGAGAUUCCAUCUUACGGAAUAAUAAGUUCACUCCCAAGUAUGACUAAGAGCUAGGUUUCAAAGAGAUAAAUUGAUGUAUCUCAAUCCAUUCCACAACAUUGCUCACCUGAUGUCCUAAUAUUGUUCAAAAUGCUUGCACAUAGUUUUAGUUUUUGUUACUGCCUCAUUAACUAUAGGAAGUAGGCUUGGGCACAUUCUUUCCAAUAAUCAAACACUACCUCCCAGGGUCAUGCUCUUAGAUAAGAGUGAGGGAGGUAGACCCUUUUGUGAAAGAGACAAUGGAAAGACAGAGACAGUAUUGUAGAUUUGCUAAUAAAGGAAAACAAAAGCAUAAAUACUUUCUAUAGCAUCAUUUCCAAGAUACUCUCUAGACUCUCAAUUUCUCACACCAUUCUAGAUUCUGUUUGUCAUUUUGCCCAUGUCUGUUUGCAACACCAUUUUUGUGUUAUUUGAAAGAGUAUGGAUAUAAAUAUGAAUAUUAAGUGAUGGCUUGAUUUGCCUUCAUAAACCAUGGUCUUCCUUUUCUAAUAUGGCUGGUAUAAAGAGGGAAAUCUUUAGUCAAAUAAUCUAUCUUUUUAAAAACAAAGCAUUACCAAAGGAAAAAGAUAAAUUAAACCUCCUCUGUUGCACAAAAACUGCUCUUAUUUUCUAGGAAAACUAAUACAAAAAUUGAUACAGUCUCAUUUCAAGUAAUAAUUAUCACAGCACAUUUUAUCUUAAAUUUCUAUUAAAUUUUUCAACACCUUUUGAUUAUAUGUUCUUGACAAGUUAAGGAUAUAUUUCAACAAUGCUUUAAACUUCAUGACAUGUUUUCUUGGUGCCACAGAAGAAGAAAUUUUAGAGUUAUUAAUUAAGGUACAUAUUUUUAUUUAGUAUGAAAUAAAUUUUAUUUUUGUACAUGGUUUUAAUAAGCAUCUUAUAACACACUGUUUUUGCACGAACCUAUAAUUUACCUUGCUUUGAAAUAAGAAACAAUGGAGAUUGCUGACAUCUACACUUUUGUUACAAAGUAAACAUUGAUCUUCUCUAUAUAACUUUAAAUAGUUAAGAUGUUGUUUUAGGCUAGUAAGAGUCAUGAUGAUUUAUAAGUAUAUCUAACUGAAAGCGAAAUGAAGUGUUGAAAGAAUUUAUGCAGAGAAAGAGUUUUUCAUUUCGCUUUGUUUCCAGAGGUGCUUUAAAAAAUAUUCAUUGGUUUGAAGAAAAGGCCCUUCUCUGGACCAUGUUCCUGAAGGCUUGCUUCACUUGCUGAUUUCGUAGAGUGUAUAUAAAAGGAUUCAAAAGAGGGGCCCCUGAGGUAUUGAGCAGAGCCACUCCUUUGCUUAAAGUCCCCCUUUCCCUUGCCGAAGGCUUAAUGUACAUGAAGAUGCAGCUGCCAUAAGAGAGGGAGACAACUAUCAUGUGGGAGGAGCAUGUGGAAAAGGCUUUUUUCCUUUGACUUGUGGAAGGAAGUCUCAGAAUCGUCCGGACGAUAUAUGUGUAGGAGAGAAUAACUAGUGUUAGCGUGACCAUGAGUGUGACCACAGCUAAAAAAAAUGCCAUGAGUUCUAGAAGGCGAGUGCUGGAGCAGGACAGCUGCAGAAUUGGAGAAGCAUCACAGAUGAAAUGAUCAACUAUAUUGGAGGCACAGAACUCCAACUGCAGCAGCAGGAUUAUUGGUGGAAAGAUGAUCAGGAAUCCUGCAAGCCAUGAGCUGAAGACAAGAAGUGCACAGACUCUGCUGCUCAUGAUGAUGGUAUAAUGGAGAGGUUUGCAGAUGGCCACGUAGCAUCAUAGGACAUGGCGGCCAGGAGGUAAAAUUCUGUCACCCCCAAGAAGAUGAAGAAAAACAGCUGCGCCACACAACCAUCAUAAGAAAUGGUUCUGUCCCCCGUCACGAGAGUGACAAGGAAUCUGGGAAUGCAGACAGACGUGAAGGAUAUUUCUAGGAAUGCGAAGUUCCGAAGGAAGAAGUACAUUGGCGUCUGCAGAUGGGGGUCUGAAAGGGUGAGGGCGAUAAUGGUCAGGUUCCCGGUCACACUCAGCAUGUAGGUAACAAGCAGGAGUGUGAAGAGUACAGCCUGCCACUGCGGAUCAUCCGUCAAUCCAAGAAGAAUAAACUCUGUUACUUCAGUGUAAUUUCUCAUUAUUUUCCUUCUUUGUUUUAGCUGUAAAACAGAUGAAGGUGUAAGAAACCAUAACACCGGCAAAGACACACACACACACGUACACACAUGCACACAUGAUCAUGCACACAUGAAUACACACAGAAAAAUAUUGCUGCCUGGGCUUUUAGAGAAAAAUGAUUUUGUAGUACCCAGAAACAAAAUACUUAAAAUAACUUUGUAAUUCUUAUGCCAUAUAUUAAUUCACUAUCCUACAUUUCCUUCAUUGCAUUCUCACACGUUUCAGUGUAAAUCUCUGUGUGCUAAAUAUUUCAAUAUAGUCCUGAAAACAAGGGAAAAAAGAGGUUGAAAUCUCUGAGAUUGAAACCUCAAAUAAGACUCUGAGAGCUUACCUCCAGCACACCACAAUACUCUUGAAGAUUUUUUUUGUUGCUUUCUUCUUCAUUAUCAUUUUUAAUUUGUUGAUUUCGUAUAAGCAUUUCUUUCUCUUUACCCAUUUGAACUCUUACAGUCUAUGGAGUCAACUCCGGUGUCCAUCUGGUCAAUUAAUGUGUCCCUGAUAAUAGUGUACAGAGAGAGGUAUUUAAUGAGUGUGGGGGGGGUAGGCUCCCUUCUAAUUCCAGUGUCUGCACUGCAAGACAUUCUAGUUUUAAACAGUAAUCUGUUAUAAUGGUGUCUUUAAGGUUGUAAAUAUAUCACUCUUGAAUAUAUUUUUAUUAACUUUAUCUACCGUAUGUCUACUCUAUGUUAUAUAUAUAUAUAUAUAUAAUUUUUACAUAACAUAUAUAAAGUAGUAGUUUUACUUNNNNNNNNNNNNNNNNNNNNNNNNNNNNNNNNNGCUUAUUUCCAAAAAUCAUUUUGGCACUUCUCCACAAUGGUGCCUAUUCUUUUCUUGAUGGAUGAUGAAAGGCAAUAGUUAAUAUUCAAAGUAAGUUUUGGAAAGGCAAAGACCCUUCCUUCCUUCCUCCUUCUUUCCUUCUUUCCUUCCUUCUUCUUUCUUUGUUUCUUUUCUUCUAAUAUAACUCUUGGUAUUACACAGGAUUUGUUUAACUGUUUGCUCCACUAAGCAUCAUAAAAGGAAGUUAUCAUAGUGUGAAACUAUAUGAAAGCUCCUUACAUGCAUCUUGCUAAAUGGAACAAACCAAUAUAUAAAGGCUACAUAAUGUAUGGUGUCAACAAUAUGAUUCUUUCUGAAGCCAUAGUUUAGUGUAAGACAGUAAAAUUUUUUGAUGGAUUCAGGGGUUUGCAAAGGACGGGCUAUGAAUAUCUUCAGUCUAGUGGAUUUUUGGGACAAUGAAAAUAAUCUGUGGAAAAGUAUAAUAUUGGAUCCAUGACAUUUUAUGAUCGUACAAAACCAUAAAUUGCUCAUUCCUAAAAGCAAACUAAGUUAAAAUAUGGACUUUAAAUAUUUAAGUGUCAGUGAUUCAUUACUGGUAACAAAGGCGCCACUGUGAUGGUGGAUGAUGAUAAUGAGGGAGGCUAUGCCUCUGCGGGAGAAAGAGGCUUGUGGGAAAUUUCUGUAUCUUACUCUCAGGUUUGCCCUGAAUCGAAACCUUCUAUAAAAAAAUCUUUAAAAUCUUUUUAACAUAUUGGUAUUAGUGUAUGCACAAUUGAUAAGAUCUUUUAAAGGAUUCAGUGGAUCAAAUAAUAUUUGAAAAUGGGAAACAAGUCAUUAUUUUCCCUUAGAGUGUUAGAUGUGCUGGGAGCUCCCGUCGUGGCUCAGGUUAAGGAAUCUGACUAGGAACCAUGAGGUUGUGGGUUCGAUCCCUGGCCUUGCCCAGUGGGUUAAGGAUCCGGCCUUGCCAUGAGCUGUGGUGUAGGUUGCAGACGCGGCUUGGAUCCCAUGUUGUGGCUCUGGCAUAGGCCGGUGGCAACAGCUCCGAUUAGCUCCCUAUCCUGGGACCCUCCAUAUGUCACGGGAGCAGCCCUAGAAAAGGCAAAAAGCCAAAAAAAAAAAA